GCUGGCGGCGUGCUUAACACAUGCAAGUCGAGUGCGCGUUUCCGUAGCAAUACGGAGAUGGCGCACGGCGCACGGGUGCGUAACACGUGGGUAAUCUGCCCUCUGAUGGGGAAUAACUCGCCGAAAGGCGAGCUAAUACCGCAUAACAUUCCUUGGACUCCGGUCCGAGGAUUCAAAGGCGUAAGUCGUCGGAGGUGGAGCCCGCGCACGAUUAGCUAGUUGGUGAGGUAAUGGCUCACCAAGGCUAUGAUCGUUAGCUGGUCUGAGAGGAUGGCCAGCCACACUGGAACUGAGACACGGUCCAGACUCCUACGGGAGGCAGCAGUGGGGAAUCUUGCACAAUGGGCGAAAGCCUGAUGCAGCGACGCUGCGUGGGGGAUGAAGCUUCUCGGAGUGUAAACCCCUUUCGACCGGGACGAAUACCUCGCAAGAGGGGUGACGGUACCGGUAUAAGAAGCCCCGGCUAACUACGUGCCAGCAGCCGCGGUAAGACGUAGGGGGCCAGCGUUGCUCGGAAUUACUGG
RNAcentral lists this ribosomal RNA (524 nucleotides) under uncultured soil bacterium. RNAcentral describes it as "bacterial SSU rRNA". It matches the Rfam family "Bacterial small subunit ribosomal RNA", at positions 35 to 557 of the family's 1533-position model. The record is from RNAcentral.